RNAcentral lists this long non-coding RNA (1449 nucleotides) under Numida meleagris (helmeted guineafowl). RNAcentral's name for it is "lncRNA (ENSNMEG00000011158.1)". Lineage: Eukaryota; Metazoa; Chordata; Aves; Galliformes; Numididae. The record is from RNAcentral.
UACAAGCUUUCACGUACAGUCUUUGCCAUCUUACGCUGCUGUGGUUCCAAGUCACUCAUGUGUAUAAGCUUGAAGGAACAGGGCAGGUACCUCAGUGGUGUUCCAGUCUAUCUGUUUUUCUCUUGCUGCCUGUCUGGGAAAUAGGAGAGCCCAGGCUCCACCCUGCCAGUGGAAAGUUCAUGGAAACCAUCAGUCAGCACCAGUUGCCUUUAGCAACCAACAACAAAUCUGCCCACACUGGCCACAGAGAUUGAGACUACGUGCUUAUUACUGCAUUGAUGUUCAGCUGAGGAGUCCUGGCAUCUGGAAGACUUCACCUAUAGGAACUUCCAGAGAGCACUUUCAGAAGCUGCAAAUGAGAUUACACGCUGACCAAGUCAUGCUGGAACAAGUACAACAGGAGAACCAGUGCCUGAAUCAGCAAGUUGCCCAUCUGACGGCUGCAUUUAUGGCACUGCAGAAAAUGGGACCAAAACCCUACUGGAGUCUGAAUGGAAUGAAAGGAAGGGAAAGGAAGAACACUGGUAUACCAGCUUUCUCAAUAUCAAUACAAAAAGAGGAAUGUGAAGAGGAGCAUAAAUAUGCAAUAACUGAUACUGUGAAGAAGAGAGCUGACAAAACUUCGUUAAGAGGAGGAAGAUGUGCAUAUCUAAUCAACAGUAGGAUUUCUUGGGGUGUGGUGUCUGAUCACCAGCUGUUGUGAAAAGGAGACACAGCAACAGGGCAUCAUCUUGGCUAAGGAGAGAAUAGAUUGUUGGACCUUCAGCUUCUCAAAACAGGUGAAGAGGCAUCAGUCUGGUUCCUAAGCACAAAGAAGAAGAAAAAAAGACAGGUAAGGAACAGUAUGCUGCUUGGUACUCUUUGCAGUCCUGAAAAACAGUCAUUUCUUUCUCCACCUUUGUUGCUAAACACCUCCUGAGCAAUUUCUGCUGCUCUUGGAUUUUUUACAGUAUUGCAUGUAAAGAAAUCCUGAUUCCAGAAAUCAAGAGGGUUUGCCUUUAGAGCUAAAUCAUCAAAACGUACCUUUUUAUUCUGAACGGAAGGGUGGCCAUUUCCAUUUCAAAUAAGCAUGGGGAAGGCAUAGAGUUUUUGAGAAGUGAACUUGAUAGGGCCAGAUCAGAAGUGCAGCUGUCUAUGCCAGUGCAGCGCUCUGCUUCAAGUGGAAGAAGAAAGCAGUGUGUAAACUAACUGUGGGAGCUGAGAAGGAGAAGGAGAUGCCAUCUGACCUGGUCCUUUCUUCACUAUUGCAGUCACCACCAUUCUUUUUUAUGAGGAGUCCUAGCAAACUGGUGCAGAUACAUUUUAAAUCUAAAUUUCAAGUCAGCAAGGUCCUGUGGCUGAUAGGCAAUCCUUUUGCCUUUCUGUUUGGUUCUUCUGCAUUAGCUAUUGUUAUGUUCUGAGGCUUCUUUUUUAAGCAAUGCAAUAAAAACAACGCAAACAAGCUGGGCA